Molecule: ribosomal RNA, 433 nt
Filed under: uncultured bacterium
Lineage: Bacteria
Description: partial 16S ribosomal RNA
Rfam family: Bacterial small subunit ribosomal RNA
Source: RNAcentral
AACGAACGCUGGCGGCAUGCCUAACACAUGCAAGUCGAACGAGACCUUCGGGUCUAGUGGCGCACGGGUGCGUAACGCGUGGGAAUCAGCCCUUGGGUUCGGAAUAACAGUUGGAAACGACUGCUAAUACCGGAUGAUGACGUAAGUCCAAAGAUUUAUCGCCCAAGGAUGAGCCCGCGUAGGAUUAGCUAGUUGGUGAGGUAAAGGCUCACCAAGGCGACGAUCCUUAGCUGGUCUGAGAGGAUGAUCAGCCACACUGGGACUGAGACACGGCCCAGACUCCUACGGGAGGCAGCAGUGGGGAAUAUUGGACAAUGGGCGAAAGCCUGAUCCAGCAAUGCCGCGUGAGUGAUGAAGGCCUUAGGGUUGUAAAGCUCUUUUACCCGGGAUGAUAAUGACAGUACCGGGAGAAUAAGCUCCGGCUAACUCCGUG